GCCAGCAGCCGCGGUAAUUCCAGCUCCAAUAGCGUAUAUUAAAGUUGUUGCGGUUAAAAAGCUCGUAGUCCGAGCUCAGUUCCGGACUGGCCGGGGAGGUCACCGCCCGGUGCCUUGCCUGGGCCAGGCUCCGAACCAAUGCUCCCGCUCUGCGGGAGCGACACGCCGGUGCUCGCCGGGGUGCUCUUGACCGAGUGUCCCGCGCGGCCGGCCAGUUCACCUUGAAUAAAUGAGAGUGCUCAAAGCAGGCUACUCUUGAAACCUAAAGCCCGAAUGUUACCUGCAUGGAAUGAUGGAAGAUGAUCUCGGUUCCAUUUUAUUGGGGGUGGGAAUCCGAGUUAAUGAUAAACAGGGACUGUCGGGGGCAUCCGUACUACGACGCGAGAGGUGAAAUUCAGUGACCGUCGUAGGACGAACGACAGCGAAAGCAUUUGCCAAGAAUGUCUUCGUUGAUCAAGAACGAAAGUUAGAGGAUCGAAG
This 480-nucleotide ribosomal RNA is filed under the name Pandalina brevirostris. Its description in RNAcentral is "SSU rRNA". It matches the Rfam family "Eukaryotic small subunit ribosomal RNA", at positions 566 to 1003 of the family's 1831-position model. The record is from RNAcentral. Lineage: Eukaryota; Metazoa; Arthropoda; Malacostraca; Decapoda; Pandalidae.